CUUGAGACCAGGAGAGGUCAAGGCUGC
RNAcentral lists this non-coding RNA (27 nucleotides) under Homo sapiens (human). Lineage: Eukaryota; Metazoa; Chordata; Mammalia; Primates; Hominidae. The record is from RNAcentral.